Molecule: long non-coding RNA, 1295 nt
Organism: Lolium rigidum
Lineage: Eukaryota; Viridiplantae; Streptophyta; Magnoliopsida; Poales; Poaceae
Exons: 3
Source: RefSeq, a predicted model, not a curated record
AGCAUCGGAAAAUUUCAAGUCUCAUGUGGGAGGACCAUCUAGUAUUCACAACAAUGCAAGAAGUAAUUGUGAAGAUUUCAGAAAUAAGAAGCAAAGUGUGGCAUAUGCUAUCACAUCUCAAGAGGAGAAAUCACAUGUUGAUUAUGAAAUUCGUUUGAGGGCUGUUGUCGGUGUUGUACGGUUUCUUAUUGAACAAGGUCUAGCUUUUCGUGGGCAUGAUGAGUCUAGCACUUCUAGGAACAAGGGUAAUUUCCGUGAGUUGUUGGAUUGGUAUGGCGCAAGAUGCAAGGAGGUAGCGGAUGUGAUCAAUGAAAAUGCUCCUGGCAAUUGUCAAUUGACAUCUCAUGAAAUCCAACAAGAUAUAUCACAAGCAUGUGCGGAAGAGACUAUGGAAGUCAUAAUGAGUGAGCUUGAAAAUGCUAGCUUCUCUCUACUCGUUGAUGAGUCUCGUGAUGUAUCGGUUAAAGAGCAAAUGGCCGUGAUGGUGAGGUGAGUGCCUCUUGUAAGAAGAAAGAUGCGUUGUUGCAAAAGCAUCAUGAUCAUAUGGUAUCACUGCUAGAGAAUGGGGAGAUCUUGCCAGGAAGAGGCCAACAUCAAGAGACAAGUUUAGCAAGACCAGGUGAUACACGUUGGGGGUCACACCAUAGAACUCUAAUCCGGAUUCAUCAAAUGUGGGAUUCAGUGAUUUCCGUGCUUGAUAGCAUUUCUCAUGAUGGGACAGAUGCCGAGGAGAGAGGUUUGGCUUCAGGUUAUAUGAUCAACAUGGAAACCUUUGAAUUUGUUUUUAUCUUGCAUUUGAUGCUUCGAUUGCUUGGUUUAACAAAUGAUCUAUCAUACGCAUUGCAACAAAAGGAUCAGAAUAUAGUUUGCGCCAUGAACAUGAUUGUCUCUGUGAAAAGUCUAAUGCAGAAAUUGAGAGAUGAUGGAUGGGAGACUCUCUUGAUGGCUGCUACUAACUUUUGUGGUGGAAGAAAUAUUGUAGUGCCAAAUAUGGAUGAUAACAUUUAUGCUAGGGGUUAUCCAAGGAGCUCACGCAAGAUGGUUACUUGCUUGCAUCAUUACAAGAUACAAAUCUUCAAUGAGGUGCUUGAUAGAAACAUUGUUGAGAUGAACAACAGAUUUGAUCUUCGAAACAGGAUGGGUGAUGAUUGGCUCAAUGACUUGCUGAUUUGCUAUGUUGAGAAAGAGAUAUUUACAAAAGUUGAUGACAAGAAGAUUAUGUUGCGUUUUCAUUCCUACAAGGAACGUCGAGGUCAUCUACCUCGACAAUUUCGUCUUCCUGGCAUAGAUACAAC